RNAcentral lists this unclassified non-coding RNA (265 nucleotides) under uncultured fungus. RNAcentral's name for it is "partial contains small subunit ribosomal RNA, internal transcribed spacer 1, and 5.8S ribosomal RNA". The stretch from base 1 to 73 matches the Rfam family "Eukaryotic small subunit ribosomal RNA", at positions 1759 to 1831 of the family's 1831-position model. Lineage: Eukaryota; Fungi. The record is from RNAcentral.
UCAAACUUGGUCAUUUAGAGGAAGUAAAAGUCGUAACAAGGUCUCCGUAGGUGAACCUGCGGAGGGAUCAUUACCGAGUGAGGGCCCCGCCCGACCUCCAACCCUUUGUGAUUUGACCACUGUUGCCUCGGGGGUCACCCGUCUCGCCUGAGGCGGGGCCCCCGCUGGACCCCAAACUCCGCGUCUCUGCGUCAGUUUGAUUGACAAAUGAAUCAAAACUUUCAACAACGGAUCUCUUGGUUCUGGCAUCGAUGAAGAACGCAGC